ACAAUCUAACGAAUGGACCCAUGGGCAGUUCAUGGCAUUCCCACCA
RNAcentral lists this non-coding RNA (46 nucleotides) under Seculamonas ecuadoriensis. The record is from RNAcentral. Lineage: Eukaryota; Jakobea; Jakobida; Moramonadidae.